GGAGGGGUGGCCGAGCGGUUGAAGGCACCGGUCUUGAAAACCGGCAGGCGCGGAAGCGUCUCGUGGGUUCGAAUCCGACCCCCUCCGCCA
RNAcentral lists this transfer RNA (90 nucleotides) under Alphaproteobacteria bacterium. RNAcentral's name for it is "tRNA-Ser". It matches the Rfam family "tRNA". Rfam says of the family: Transfer RNA (tRNA) molecules are approximately 80 nucleotides in length. Their secondary structure includes four short double-helical elements and three loops (D, anti-codon, and T loops). Further hydrogen bonds mediate the characteristic L-shaped molecular structure. tRNAs have two regions of fundamental functional importance: the anti-codon, which is responsible for specific mRNA codon recognition, and the 3' end, to which the tRNAs corresponding amino acid is attached (by aminoacyl-tRNA synthetases). tRNAs cope with the degeneracy of the genetic code in two manners: having more than one tRNA (with a specific anti-codon) for a particular amino acid; and 'wobble' base-pairing, i.e. permitting non-standard base-pairing at the 3rd anti-codon position. The record is from RNAcentral. Lineage: Bacteria; Pseudomonadati; Pseudomonadota; Alphaproteobacteria.